CGGAGCCGGAGGUGGCUGCGGAAGCUUUAGUCCUCUCCCCGAUGUGGCGACCACGGCCAGGACAAUGCUGGCCUACGCAGUCUCAGAGCAUGAAAGUUUGAGGCGUCUAUGUUAUGAGAGAGUGGACAUGAAGGUGCUUUGAAUAGAUCCAUCUUCACAGGGAGGACACUGGCUGUCAGGAGAGACCAGACUUGCCUCAAGAAGGGUUAAUGCCCAAAGCAGGACCUUUUGGAGGUCGUCAGCCUUCACUAGUACCAGGAGCCAAUGGCCAUUGUCCUGCAUGAGGCUGCGGUCUCCACCCCAAAGGCCCUUCAUUCCUCCGCGCACCUGAUGGCUUCCUCCUGAAGCUCUGAGACCCCACUUCCUGGCACCUCCUCAGGAUCUGCCACAGCAUGGAUUUCUCUGUUCCCUCUGUCAGAGAUCUACAGCCUGUGUACUGCGAUGGCCCAGCACUCCUGCUUGUGUCUCCCACUUGGCUGGAAGCAGACCAAGAGCAGGGUAUGUGCUGGGGUGCCCAACCCAGGGCCAGGCACAGAGCACACCUACACAUUGAAGGAGUGUGUGACUGCAUAGAUGGAACCUGGUUCUGGAUCAGCCUUGGAGACCUGCACUUGAUGGAUCAGCUGGCACCAUCCAGAUGGAUAAACUUGUGGCCCCCAUCCAGGAACUGAGUCAGUGCAAGAGGACAACUUCAACUUCCCGUGAUUUCAUCUCCUGCAUAACCAAUCAGCACUCCCGGCUCUUUGGCUUCCCCCCACCCACCAAGUUGUCCUUAAAAACUCUG
Molecule: long non-coding RNA, 784 nt
Filed under: Homo sapiens (human)
Lineage: Eukaryota; Metazoa; Chordata; Mammalia; Primates; Hominidae
Description: HSALNT0171745
Source: RNAcentral